RNAcentral lists this ribosomal RNA (250 nucleotides) under uncultured bacterium. Its description in RNAcentral is "partial 16S ribosomal RNA". It matches the Rfam family "Bacterial small subunit ribosomal RNA", at positions 524 to 773 of the family's 1533-position model. The record is from RNAcentral.
GACGAAGGAUCCAAGCGUUAUCCGGAUUCAUUGGGUUUAAAGGGUGCGUAGGCGGCCCGGUAAGUCAGUGGUGAAAUCUCCUUGCUUAACAAGGAAACUGCCAUUGAUACUGCUGGGCUUGAGUACAGAUGCUGUGGGCGGAAUAUGACAUGUAGUGGUGAAAUACAUAGAGAUGUCAUAGAACACCGAUUGCGAAGGCAGCUCACAAAACUGUAACUGACGCUGAGGCACGAAAGUGCGGGGAUCAAAC